Molecule: long non-coding RNA, 4973 nt
Organism: Ooceraea biroi (clonal raider ant)
Lineage: Eukaryota; Metazoa; Arthropoda; Insecta; Hymenoptera; Formicidae
Source: RefSeq, a predicted model, not a curated record
AAUUUUAAGUAAUGAAAUAUUUUCAAUUAAUAUAAUUGUGAUUGAACAUAAUAGGAGCUUUGAGUAGGGGAACAAUUGUUUAAUAUUUUCUUAUAUUUUAUAAUUCUUAUAACUUUUUAUAUUUCUUAUUAAUUUUCGUACAACUUCGUGUUACGCACUUCGUUCUCCAAACUAUUCUCAGCGCGAGUUCUGAAAAUCAAUGUCUCAUCAGAAUACAUAAUAAUCAUUUGCGAAUCGUAUCGCCGUUACGGUAUCAGAGACGCGAGGAGUGCGCGACGUAAAUAAAUUUUUAUGGACUCGCUCGUGCGUCGAUUUUUACGGUGCGUCUCUUUUGCAUACGCCGCGAUCUCUCAUCUCGUCGGAGUAGAGACCGCUUUCGUUCGACUUAACUCUUUCCUUCUUUUUCCUCCCUACUCCCUCCUUCGCUGAAACUAAACUACGUCGAUUCCGCCGUAUAAUUUGCGGGUAUAGAAAAUGCGCGGAGAGCGCAUCUCUUAGAUCACGCAGGCUGGAUUUAAGAGGUAGGGCAGGCUCGUAACGUAUAAAGGGCGCAAGAUAAUCAAUUACCCCGGCUACCGUCUUCCCAAGAGCAAUAACAUCGGCCGGCUGUUGCCCGUUUCAGGUCGUGUACCUGUUGCAACCGCGCGCGUACGUUUAAUAGCAUCCCUAAUCGGUUACGCCCGGUCGUAAGGGCCUCCUCCCUCUUUAGACUUCUCCGAGGAACGAGAUAGAUUCGAACGGUUUCCAAUGUAAAUUUCCCGCUUUGACUCUUUCUAAUGAUAUCCGCGUUUUUUGUCCUUUAAUGGAAUUCAUGAUACGCACGCUGCUCCGCGCAGAUCCUUCAAGAAAUUCUACUGACAAGGAAAGGUUUUUAGAUCUUUUUUAAGAGUAAACUGUUUCAGUAACAGCAUAACAAAAUAAAUAAAUACAUAGAUAAUCGAAAAUAAAACUAUCAUACAAUCAUAAAAUAUUCACUCGAUUACGGAUUAUUGUAACAGAUCGUACACUGAUCAUAAAUCAGUGCUAAUUCAAUCCCAAUCCAGCAGAUACGUACCUCGAUCACAAGGACACGAUCCGAUCGCCAUGGCAGGUUUAUUUCAUGCCGAAUCACGGGGCAGACCUUUCGCAACUUUUCUUUCUCCGUCUCUCCAUCCCUCAAGGUGGUACCCGCAGACGUAUAAUACGGGGAACGAGGGGGGCGUGGAGUAAAAGGCACGGGGUAAAGAGGGAGAGGCGAGCGUUCACGUCCCGAUAUAUUAAGCUCGAUAUUCCGCGGCGGACGUUAAGAGGCUCGAAAUGGCGAAUAAACGUUCGGUCGUAAAACGGUCGGCGCGGCGCGGCAUGGCGCGGUGAGCCGUAUCUUCUAGGGGUAAUAGCGCGUGUGAUACGCAUCGAACGUGUGUAAGUCCGGCCGUUCCCCCAUCUACCUUCCGUACCUUCUUCGGAGUAUCGCGUUUUUCGCGGGACGCGACAGAACCGAAUCGAAGUAGGAGAUGCUGGAGAUAGGCCAUUAACCGAGUAAUCCGAAUGGCGCUUAGAUGGCGAUGAAUCAAACUAAACACAUACUUGUGACAGCACAAAGCUUGUCGUAUAUAAAGACCCUGGACCAGAGAUCGGAUAAUGUGCUGUCAUAGGAUAUAAAACCGGAUAUGAUAUUUCUGUUGGCCAUCUUUUACUUAUUUGAUUUGAAACAAAAAACUUAUUGGACUUAAUUUUGAGCUCACAUUAGCUAAUAAGUUACAUCAAAUUAUUGAUAAUAUGAAGUAAAAUGCAGAAUAAGAUAUGUAUUUAUUAUAUCUUUCUCUCACACUUCCGGUUUUAUCCUAAGCGAGCCAAUCAGAAAUCGAUCGCUUAAUAUUUCUUAACUCGUCACGCUUCUUGAGAAUAAGAAAUGAUCUCCUUGUGAUUAUUUUUAUAUCUCAUAUUUUUAUCAUCGUGCUUUUGCACUCGCAUCGUUAGACUGCACGGAUCCUGACGGAAUCCGCACCGUCGUCGCUCCGGGGUUCCACUCGAUGUCUAUCUAAUCUCUUCCCUUUCGGGCUUCCUACUCGAACCUUUAACUUCCGCGGACGUAACGUUAUUACAUUUCGCUCGCUUGAAACUGAAGGCACACAAAGUGAAGAACAAGGGGAGAGAGCGCGCGCGAGCAAGAGAGAGGUGAAGCUGAGAGGGCACGAUAGAACGAAACGAAGACGAAGUAGAAACGAGCAACAGUCUAAAGAGGGGGACGAGGGAUACCCUCGGGCACGGCAGCAUGAUUACGAGCCGCAAUUAUGUCUCCGCCGGCUGCCGGCCACGCAGAGGUCGUCGGGUACAGUAGACUACGAAAGUUCCUCUUCAAUAAUCUUCGGAAAUAAUCGUCUAUCUUUCGCAUAUUAACCCCUUCUGCGCGACCCACGUGAUUUUUGCAUUACGAGUGCAAAACAAGAUCUUUUUAAUUUAAAGGGAGAAUAAAUUGUAUAUAUUUUUAGUUAUUUGCUUGAAAAAUAGGUAGGUUUAUUUAUUUAUGGAAUAGGGACUUUGUGUUUUAAAAAAACAAAAUAGAAAUUGUGAGGGGAAUUGGUUAUUUAUACGCUUAAGUCAUCGAUAACUUUGCACAUGUACCGUCAUAAGAAAGGAGUUUAAAGGAGAUAGAGACGACGAGCAUUUUUUAUUUACUACUUUGAAGGAUGCAAAAUCUUUUUGUGCUAGACAUAAUAAUUAAAAAAAAAUAAGAAGACAUUAAAUGAAAAAUAUAGAAAUUUAUGAAGCUUAAUAUAACAAAUUCACUGGGCAAUUGCAAUAAUUAUAUAGAAAUAUACCAGCGUUUACCAACGUUAUAUUUUCUUAGUGAAUUGUAUGUAGAUUUCAAAGAGAAACGUUCCCGGAAUUAUUCAAUUUUCCUUACUUUGUCAUACACCAUUAAAUGCCUAUUAAAUGCCUAUCUAAUGUACAGAAAACAGUUCAUUUACAUGAAAUUACUACAUCGUGUGCAAAAACGAGACAGAAAGAAAGAAAAGAUUUCUCUGAUAAACCUGGUUGAAUCGAGUCGCUAACUGUUACUGUACAUGUUGCAAACGCUUAACUCACAGCUUUCUGAUGAAAGAAGCACAGUUGUCAUAAGGCAAGAAAUGUGUACAUUAUAUGUACAUUAAAACGCUUACACUACACGCUGCACGUUUACGUCAAUUUUAUUCGCUUUAUUUCCUUUGGCUCUACAUCUACUAACCCAGAAAUCGGAAAAACAUGUUAUCGAGCGAUUUGCAUAGUCUGCGAAAACAGUCUUGAAAUCAGUGUGCACGCUUACAAUGUUCUCCAUCCGGACAAACAUGCUGUCUCGAUGUUUUUCGUCGAUAAAGCAACGUAGCUUGUAGCAGUCACUGUACCGAACGUAGAUCCCGGGAAAGGGUCGGGGAAAGAGAGAGAAAGAAAGAGAGAGGGGGGGAAGAGCGGGGAGGAUCAGGCGAGUGGCCGCGAGCAGGUAAAACGAAGCGGUGUGUGGAACAGACCUGUAGAGGGAGACGAGCAGAUGGCGAAGAAGGGAAGAAUGGUCUACAAAGGUGGUGCGAGAGAGACCGAUCGCGAAAAAAAUACGUUGAACCUGAAUAAAGAACAGGUGAGAGAGACACGGAGGCUAGCACAUGGCGCAACGCCGACGAAGGAACGAGGGAAAGCCGCAGGAAAGAACGAACGAGACCUCGAAGGAGGAGGAAGAAUGGGAGCGAGGAGGCCGAUUUCGAUGACGAAACUGGAAUAAUCAGUGGACACGAGGAAUUAUGAGGAUAGAAUCAUGAAGAUGGACGGAUAAACGACGAGCACGAUGGAAUUGCGGCGUAGAGAUGAGAGAGACCGGGUGUAAGGGAGUAGGGGAGAGCGGAAGAAGCGAGAGGGAAGUUAAGUACGGAGAGGUGUGGCAACAAGAAGAAGGAAUGAUUAGGGUAAGGAGAGCAAGGGCGGAGGAUGUGUGGAAGCUAGAAUGAGAAAUCGCGGGAGCAAGAGUGACUGCGGAGGAAAGAGAGAGAAAGCGUGAGAUUGGACAGGGAGCGGAGCAAGGAGAAGGUAGAAACAGGUGCUAGACGCGAGAGAGCGAGGGGGGGAGGGAGAGACAACGCGCGGCGCAAGAGGCAGAAAGAGACCGACGGAGAUAGGACGAAGAAGAGAUAAACCGACCGGCUAACAUGUGCCAGAGGUAGGGUAAGGGGGAGGAGGGAAAAGGACGGGGUGGAACGGACCCACCGUGAGGCACGUUCCCACGAUCUCAUGAAUGAACUCGCGUGGCUACUCGCCGCCGUGGUGGGGCGGCACUCGCACCGCGCUCACCUUGCCUCUCGCCCAUCGUCUUUCAUCCUCCGCUCGCCCCGCGACCCCGCGCCCCGGCAAGAGGGACGAGCGCCGGUGAGCGGGUAGACUCGGAUAGGGAAUUCGAACGUUGCUUCGCGCUCGAUGUCGCGGGGUAAAAAACCCUGGACUAACGCGACGAUCGCGAUCGUGGUUGGUCGCGGCGUUUGAAAAAUUGAACAAGGAAACGCGCGGAAGUUACUCCCGAUAAGGAUUAACUUAAUUCAGGAACUACCGAGUGGAGCUGGCGAUUGCUCUCGGACAGAUAUAAGUGUUCGAUUUGAUCGAUAAAUCGAUCGAUCGAACGAAACUGGAGCGAUCUAGUUCUCAAUGAAAUGAAUACCGAGUUAAUUCAACGGUCUGAUGCAAUAUAGUAAACUUCAUCGGCACGUUGAUUACGUACAAUCAACAGUCAUGAAAUAAAGAAACGAUCUAGUUGGCUAAUAAUCAAUUACUUUAAUUUCGUAAUGGAUUUAAUAAAAGUUAAACUAAUUUGGUAUUUAAAUAAUAAACAAAUGUUCUUCGACCACCACUGGCUAAAAAUAUAUUUAAAACGCACAACGUUUCGGCUUGAUUUGAAGCCCUUAUCAAGUGCAAACCAAUUAACAUCAUUUUCUGUAAACAAGAUAUAAUAUAAGUACAAAGAACCAAAAAAA